GCGGGCUCGGGCGUCUAGGCUUGUUCCUCGGGUGUCGCCGGGCGGCCGCAGAGGCCUGGAGAGAGGAGGCGGCUGGUCUCCGCGGCCGAGCUGUCCGUCCCUCUUCUGUGGACGCACACCUUUGCGGAGCGUCCGUGCAGACCCAGAUCACUCUCCCCGGAAAGCUUAUUUCUGGGGCGCGACAGCCUGACGUUCAAUACCGCUUGUCAGAAAGGUCGGAAUUUGGAGACUGAAAAUGGGAGAAGGGACGCGCUCCUCGGUGCUCCUCGCCGGUGUCGUCAGAGCCGCAGAGUUUUCUGAAAGUGCAACUCAGAUGGCACGCAAACCCACAAUCUUCCAACUGAAAACCAUAACUCAUCUCAGGACUUAAUGAAGCUCAGUUUCUUCAUGUCUUGGCACAGAAGGAAUUCAGCAAGAGGGAAAGUGAUAGGCAGUGGCCUCUCCCUCUUGCUCUCCCAGAGGAAGAGAAGAAUGAUCAUCAAUGGCAAAUGGCAGUUGCAGAACCAACGCCAAGAACCAGCUUCACACUCAGGAGAGAACACUAAGUUUCUUCCUCGGGGUUUCAGAAAGGUACUAUUACUCUCUCUCUGAGAAAAUCAAAACCAUAAGUAUCCUGCAGGUAAAAAACAAAAUCUAUUGAUGCUGCAUGCCUUCUAAAGGCCUUCAACUUUCAUUCAACCAAGACCUGCCUUGAGAGAAAACGUCACCUAUACCUGGAGUGCCCCACAGCACACUGAGACUGCUGUGAUGUGAAACCUACCAGCCAUGUGUAACCCAGGGGUGGCAUGGUUAGGCGUGCUGCUGCUCUUGGUCGUGUUCACCCAUCCAGCCCUCAAGCCAGCAAUGCCUCCCGUGAUCAAGAAACGACCUUUCAACAUUUUCUGGGCUGCCCCAACAAUGCAGUGUAAGCAUUUCUUCAAUAUGGAUCUGAAUCUUCAAUUAUUUCAUAUUAUAUCAAAUCCUUUAGAGACUCAGAGUGGAUCAACAAUUGCCAUACUUUAUCCAAACGAAGUAGGGUAUUAUCCUUAUUUCUCUCCAGAGGGAAAAUCCUUUAACAGAGGGAUACCACAGAAUAUGAGCCUUUCCAAACACCUUAGGAAGACCACUGAUGACAUUGCAAAAGUGGUCCCUUGGUGGAGAUUAGAAGGUCUUGUUGUCAUUGACUGGGAAAGCUAGAAGCCACAGUGGGACAGAAAAUGGGGCAAUAGAGUAAUAUAUAAAAACUACGCCUUAGCCUUUCCCAGAAACCACCAUCCUGAUUGGUCAGAAAUGAAAGUGAGAACAGUUGCCCAAGAGGAAUUUGAAACUGCUGGGAGGAGUAUUAUGAAUGCUACUCUCACACUGGCUUUAGAAAUGAGACCAAAAUGUUUAUGGGGCUUUUAUCUCUAUCCAGACUGCUACAAUUAUGAUUAUAGGAGAAAUCCACAGAGCUACACAGGUAAAUGCCCGAGUGGUGAAAUAUUCCGCAAUGACCAGCUCCAGUGGCUAUGGGAAAAAAGCAGAGCACUUUAUACUUCAAUAUAUUUGGAUAAAAUAUUGAGGUCAAGUUUAAAUGCUUUGAAAUUUGUUCAUUAUAGAGUUAGAGAAGGCAUGAGAAUUGCUGAAAUGGCGAGACAUGACUAUGUUUUAUCAGUUUUUAUUUUUUCCAGACCAUUUUAUUUGCGUAGUAUUGAAGCUUUGUCACAGGUAAGGAAAAAAUACAGUCCCACCUAAAAUAUGGAAACUUAGUAGAAUGACUCUAUAAAGUUUAGGAAGAAAGUGUUUUAGGAUGCUUAUUUCCCCUUAAUAGUAGAAUACUAUUCUAUUAUUAAAGCUAUGUGCUCCUUCGAAUCUUGAGCCAAUUCUGAAACAGUGUCACUGACAAUUAGAUGUUUAGAGUUUUUAGAUGAUGAUUCCUACCAGCUGAGCAUUUACAAGUGUUUCCUGCAGAACAGUUGUUAAGCUUAAGUUAAAUCAUGUAACAGAUAGAUUAAUUUUAAACAGGGAGAAGUUUCAUAUUAAAGAAGCUUCUAAUAUGAAAGAGUAGCAGCAAUUUUCCAAAUCAAAAAUAUACAAAGUAGAGCUUGGGUAAACUAUUAACUAACUAUGCUUUCAAUAUAUUGCAUUUUUAUGUUUUGAUUGAUUAGGUUA
Long non-coding RNA from Hippopotamus amphibius kiboko, 2130 nucleotides. RefSeq lists it as uncharacterized. The record is from RefSeq and is a predicted model, not a curated record. The transcript has 5 exons. Lineage: Eukaryota; Metazoa; Chordata; Mammalia; Artiodactyla; Hippopotamidae.